AGACCCGCGUCUCACCCCGGGCCGGAAGGGCUCCUGCGCAGGCGUUUGUAGCCACUUUUAAGUUUUAUCAGCUAGUUCAUGCUUGCGUUGAAAGAGUGGUCGUUUGCGCUGGGUCAUCACUGUGUAGUAUUGGGGAUACUUAGGUGAGAAAAAAACUUAACGCUAGAGACGUUCACGCACUAGUGGAGAAGCCAGGAUUGUUGCCCUAGAGUUACAGUAGAUAAAAGUACCUCAGAGAACUGCGGGGGCUCCCAACCUGGACGCUUGCACCGGAGUAUUAAAUCCAGCUAGAGAAUGGCAUGUGCAAAGAUACAGAGCUUUUAGAAGUUGCCUGCAUUCCUUGGCCCCUUCCUCACAUCAUUCCAACCAACUUCCAUCCUUACAAUCGAUUACUUUCCUGUAAUAGCUACAGUCAAAUGGGCAGCUGAAGAUGAUGAUGAUGAUGAUCUUGACACCGAGAAGCAGAAGACCAAUGAAGAUGACCAGACAGCAAAAAAGGAUAAGUUAAAAGAAGGUAAAAGAAGGCCACUCGUACUUGCUGUCUCAGUAUCUAAAGGUGGUCACCUUCCAGUAGAGAGGCCCACCCACUGCAGACCGUGCCACCGAAGGUGACAUGCACUUUCUGCCACCCAUCCAAAACCGUAACGUGAAUCUGCAACAGGAGAGGAAAGAAGAACCAAAACUUCCAAGGCCUUGCAUUUUUUCUUAAAAGCAUUUUUUUUUUUUUUUGGAGAUGGAGUCUCACUCUAUUGCCUGGAGUGCAGUGGCGUAAUUUCGGCUCACUGAAGCCUCUGCUUCCCGGGUUUAAGAAAUUCUCUGCCUCAGCCUCCCAAGUAGCUGGGAUUACAGGCACAUGCCACCACACCUGUCUAAUUUUUGUAUUUUUAGGAGAGACAGGGUUUCACCGUGUUGGCCAGGCUGGUCUUGAACUCCUGACCUCGUGAUCCACCUGCCUUGGCCUCCCAAAGUGCUGGGAUUACAGGCCUGAGCCACUGCACCUAGCCAAAAGCAUUUUUUAAAGAAAAAUUGGUCUAUAUUUUUUGUUUCUACUUUAUAUCUUUGUACAUAUUUUUAGAGUGCAGGCAUUUUUAAUAAUCUUGGAUGACCAAAGCAGCUUUCAGAAUGUUCUUUGCCCAACUUCUGACUUUACUUGUAGUGUGACCAUGUUCAUUAGAAUCUCAAAGGAGGAAGAAAAGAAAAAACAAACUUGUAAAAAAUGAAAAAUAGAUCUGGCGAGGUGAUUCACGGCUGUAAGCCCAGCACUUUGAGAGGCUAAGGCGGGUGGAUCACCUGAGGUCAGGAGUUCGAGACCAGCCUGGCCAACAUGGUGAAAUCCUAUCUCUACUAAAUAUACAAAAAUUAGCCAGGUGUGGUGGUGGGUGCCUGUAGUCCCAGCUACUCAGGAGGCUGAGGCAGGAGAAUCUGGAACCCCGGAGGCAGAGGUUGCAGUGAGCCGAGAUCGCACCAUUGCACUCCAGCCUGGGCGACAGAGUGAGACUAUCUGAAAAAAAGCAAAAAUAGGCCAGGCAUGGUGGCUCAUGCCUUGAUCCCAGCACUUUGGUAAGCCUAGGCAGGUGGAUCACUUGAGGUCAGGGGUUCGAGACCAGCUUAGCCAACAUGGUGAAAACCUGUCUCUACUGAAAAUACAAAAAUUAGCCAGGCGUGGUGGUGGGUACCUGUAAUCCCAGCUACGCGGGAGGCUGAGGCAUGAGAAUUGCUUGAACUCAGGAGGCGGAGGUUGCAGUGAGCAGCAGUCAUGCCAUUGCACUCCAGCCUGGUGACAGAGUAAGACUCUGUCUCAAAAAUAAAUAAAUGCAAAAACAACAAAUCUUAUUUUUUCAGCCUGUUCGAUGUAUGUGUGAAACAAUGUUGUCCAACAAUAAACGGGAAUCUUAUUUUUCU
This 1902-nucleotide long non-coding RNA is filed under the name Homo sapiens (human). RNAcentral describes it as "HSALNT0363968". Lineage: Eukaryota; Metazoa; Chordata; Mammalia; Primates; Hominidae. The record is from RNAcentral.